Molecule: ribosomal RNA, 497 nt
Filed under: uncultured bacterium
Lineage: Bacteria
Description: partial 16S ribosomal RNA
Rfam family: Bacterial small subunit ribosomal RNA
Source: RNAcentral
GAUGAACGCUGGCGGCGUGCCUAAUACAUGCAAGUCGAGCGAACAGACGAGGAGCUUGCUCCUCUGACGUUAGCGGCGGACGGGUGAGUAACACGUGGAUAACCUACCUAUAAGACUGGGAUAACUUCGGGAAACCGGAGCUAAUACCGGAUAAUAUAUUGAACCGCAUGGUUCAAUAGUGAAAGACGGUUUUGCUGUCACUUCUAGAUGGAUCCGCGCCGCAUUAGCUAGUUGGUAAGGUAACGGCUUACCAAGGCAACGAUGCGUAGCCGACCUGAGAGGGUGAUCGGCCACACUGGAACUGAGACACGGUCCAGACUCCUACGGGAGGCAGCAGUAGGGAAUCUUCCGCAAUGGGCGAAAGCCUGACGGAGCAACGCCGCGUGAGUGAUGAAGGUCUUCGGAUCGUAAAACACUGUUAUUAGGGAAGAACAAAUGUGUAAGUAACUAUGCACGUCUUGACGGUACCUAAUCAGAAAGCCACGGCUAACUACGUG